UUAAGCGACUAAGCGUACACGGUGGAUGCCCUGGCAGUCAGAGGCGAUGAAGGACGUGCUAAUCUGCGAAAAGCGCCGGCGAGGUGAUAUGAACCUUUGACCCGGCGAUGUCCGAAUGGGGAAACCCAGUGUGUUCCGACACACUAUCGUUAACUGAAUACAUAGGUUAACGAGGCGAACCGGGGGAACUGAAACAUCUAAGUACCCCGAGGAAAAGAAAUCAACCGAGAUUCCCCCAGUAGCGGCGAGCGAACGGGGAGCAGCCCAGAGUCUGAAUCAGCUUGUGUGUUAGUGGAAGCGUCUGGAAAGUCGCACGGUACAGGGUGACAGUCCCGUACACGAAAGCACACAGGUUGUGAACUCGAAGAGUAGGGCGGGACACGUGGUAUCCUGUCUGAAUAUGGGGGGACCAUCCUCCAAGGCUAAAUACUCCUGACUGACCGAUAGUGAACCAGUACCGUGAGGGAAAGGCGAAAAGAACCCCGGCGAGGGGAGUGAAAAAGAACCUGAAACCGUGUACGUACAAGCAGUGGGAGCCUCUUUUAUGGGGUGACUGCGUACCUUUUGUAUAAUGGGUCAGCGACUUAUAUUCUGUAGCAAGGUUAACCGUAUAGGGGAGCCGAAGGGAAACCGAGUCUUAACUGGGCGUUAAGUUGCAGGGUAUAGACCCGAAACCCGGUGAUCUAGCCAUGGGCAGGUUGAAGGUUGGGUAACACUAACUGGAGGACCGAACCGACUAAUGUUGAAAAAUUAGCGGAUGACUUGUGGCUGGGGGUGAAAGGCCAAUCAAACCGGGAGAUAGCUGGUUCUCCCCGAAAGCUAUUUAGGUAGCGCCUCGUGAACUCAUCUUCGGGGGUAGAGCACUGUUUCGGCUAGGGGGCCAUCCCGGCUUACCAACCCGAUGCAAACUACGAAUACCGAAGAAUGUUAUCACGGGAGACACACGGCGGGUGCUAACGUCCGUCGUGAAGAGGGAAACAACCCAGACCGCCAGCUAAGGUCCCAAAGUCAUGGUUAAGUGGGAAACGAUGUGGGAAGGCACAGACAGCCAGGAUGUUGGCUUAGAAGCAGCCAUCAUUUAAAGAAAGCGUAAUAGCUCACUGGUCGAGUCGGCCUGCGCGGAAGAUGUAACGGGGCUAAACCAUGCACCGAAGCUGCGGCAGCGACGCUUAUGCGUUGUUGGGUAGGGGAGCGUUCUGUAAGCCGUUGAAGGUGUCCUGUGAGGGGUGCUGGAGGUAUCAGAAGUGCGAAUGCUGACAUAAGUAACGAUAAAGCGGGUGAAAAGCCCGCUCGCCGGAAGACCAAGGGUUCCUGUCCAACGUUAAUCGGGGCAGGGUGAGUCGACCCCUAAGGCGAGGCCGAAAGGCGUAGUCGAUGGGAAACAGGUUAAUAUUCCUGUACUUGGUGUUACUGCGAAGGGGGGACGGAGAAGGCUAUGUUAGCCGGGCGACGGUUGUCCCGGUUUAAGCAUGUAGGCGGAACGAUUAGGUAAAUCCGGUCGUUUAUUAACGCUGAGGUGUGAUGACGAGGCACUACGGUGCUGAAGUAACAAAUGCCCUGCUUCCAGGAAAAGCCUCUAAGCAUCAGGUAACAUCAAAUCGUACCCCAAACCGACACAGGUGGUCAGGUAGAGAAUACCAAGGCGCUUGAGAGAACUCGGGUGAAGGAACUAGGCAAAAUGGUGCCGUAACUUCGGGAGAAGGCACGCUGAUAUGUAGGUGAAGCCCCUGCGGGUGGAGCUGAAAUCAGUCGAAGAUACCAGCUGGCUGCAACUGUUUAUUAAAAACACAGCACUGUGCAAACACGAAAGUGGACGUAUACGGUGUGACGCCUGCCCGGUGCCGGAAGGUUAAUUGAUGGGGUUAGCGGCAACGCGAAGCUCUUGAUCGAAGCCCCGGUAAACGGCGGCCGUAACUAUAACGGUCCUAAGGUAGCGAAAUUCCUUGUCGGGUAAGUUCCGACCUGCACGAAUGGCGUAAUGAUGGCCAGGCUGUCUCCACCCGAGACUCAGUGAAAUUGAACUCGCUGUGAAGAUGCAGUGUACCCGCGGCAAGACGGAAAGACCCCGUGAACCUUUACUAUAGCUUGACACUGAACACUGGUCCUUGAUGUGUAGGAUAGGUGGGAGGCUUUGAAGCGUGGACGCCAGUCUGCGUGGAGCCAACCUUGAAAUACCACCCUUUAAUGGCUGGUGUUCUAACGUAGACCCGUGAUCCGGGUUGCGGACAGUGUCUGGUGGGUAGUUUGACUGGGGCGGUCUCCUCCCAAAGAGUAACGGAGGAGCACGAAGGUUAGCUAAUCCUGGUCGGACAUCAGGAGGUUAGUGCAAUGGCAUAAGCUAGCUUGACUGCGAGAGUGACGGCUCGAGCAGGUGCGAAAGCAGGUCAUAGUGAUCCGGUGGUUCUGAAUGGAAGGGCCAUCGCUCAACGGAUAAAAGGUACUCCGGGGAUAACAGGCUGAUACCGCCCAAGAGUUCAUAUCGACGGCGGUGUUUGGCACCUCGAUGUCGGCUCAUCACAUCCUGGGGCUGAAGUAGGUCCCAAGGGUAUGGCUGUUCGCCAUUUAAAGUGGUACGCGAGCUGGGUUUAGAACGUCGUGAGACAGUUCGGUCCCUAUCUGCCGUGGGCGCUGGAGAAUUGAGGGGGGCUGCUCCUAGUACGAGAGGACCGGAGUGGACGCAUCACUGGUGUUCGGGUUGUCAUGCCAAUGGCACUGCCCGGUAGCUAAAUGCGGAAGAGAUAAGUGCUGAAAGCAUCUAAGCACGAAACUUGCCCCGAGAUGAGUUCUCCCUGAGACUUUAAGUCUCCUGAAGGAACGUUGAAGACUACGACGUUGAUAGGUCGGGUGUGUAAGCGCAGCGAUGCGUUGAGCUAACCGAUACUAAUGAACCGUGAGGCUUAACCUU
Molecule: ribosomal RNA, 2905 nt
Filed under: Enterobacter cloacae
Lineage: Bacteria; Pseudomonadati; Pseudomonadota; Gammaproteobacteria; Enterobacterales; Enterobacteriaceae
Description: bacterial LSU rRNA
Rfam family: Bacterial large subunit ribosomal RNA
Source: RNAcentral